CAUGCUGAGUCACCUACUAAGAUAUGACUCGAUAACAGCAUUUUCGGCAGUGUUUUUCAGCGAGUUCAAAGCGCUUGAAUGCCGCCAACGGGUAAAUACCACCUUCCCGCUUGGAUAUGAACGCAGCAUACUGGUUUGUUUCGGUUUCAGAAUCCUUGUUGUUGUAGCUAACUAACGUUACUAAUCCGCUAUCCCAUUCAGAUUAGGCGGAAAAUGUUAUUAAACAUUAUAGCGUGUCUAUUCACAAAACUGUCUGCUGCCUGAGGAGAUUUUGCAGACACUCCGACGCUGUCAAACAAAAAACAGCCCAGCACGAGAUUCAAUUUUUGAAACGUUUGGAACUUAAAGGUUGACUCCAAUCAAGUUGUAGAAACCUCUCAAGAAUGAUCAAUGGAAACAGGAUGCUCCUGAGCUCAAUUUUGAGUCUCAUAUCAAAAGGUACGUCCAUGAUAAGCAGUGUGUUUCCGCCACGGGGAUAUUACUGUUUCAGUGUCUACCUCAUUCUUACCGGAGUUCAGCUCAGUGCAUCCUCCACAUUUCUUUUUCACCUACCGGAUCAGAUUGAAAUGGCAAAUGAUGCCCUCCCUGAGAAUGCUUGUCGUUAUCGGAAGAUCACCAAUGCUAAUGGAAAUGUGGAGGAGGUCCGUGGGCCAGGCGUUGUCGGUAGGCGACUAGACUAGAGAUGAUAGCAGUGGACAAAAACCUGUUACGAUCUAAGAAUGAUUUACAGCUAACAGAUUACUAAUGUAAUUUUCAUGAUACAGUUGAAGUCAGAAGUUUACAUACACUUAGGUUGGAGUCAUUAAAACAAAUUUUUCAACCACUCCACAAAUUUCUUGUUAACAAACUAUAGUUUUGGCAGGUCGGUUAGGACAUCUUAGGUUAGGACCAACAAUUGUUUACAGACAGAUUAUUUCACUUAUAAAUUCACUGUAUCACAAUUCCAGUGGGUCAGAAGUUUACAUGCACUAAGUUGACUGUCUUUGGGACCCACCCCCUACACUCUUUGCUUGACAUCAUGGGAAAAUCAAAAGAAAUCAGCCAAGACCUCAGAAACAAAAUUGUAGACCUCCACAAGUCAGGUCCAUCCUUGGGAGCAAUUUCCAAACGCCUGAAGGUACCACUUUCAUCUGUACAAACAAUAGUACGCAAGUAUAAACACCAUGGGACCACGCAGCCGUCAUACCACUCAGGAAGGAGACGCGUUCUGUCUCCUAGAGAUGAAUGUACUUUGGUGCGAAAAGUGCAAAUCAUUCCCAGAACAACAUAAAGGACCUUGUGAAGAUGCUGGAGGAAACAGGUACAAAAGUGGCCAUCACGAAUCCUUGACCUCAAUCCUAUAGAAAAUGUGUGGGCAGAACUGAAAAAGCGUGUGCGAGCAAGGAGGCCUACAAACCUGACUCAGUUAAACCAGCUCUGUCAGGAGGAAUGGGCCAAAAUUCACCCAAUUUAUUGUGGAAGGCUACCUGAAACGUUUGACCCAAGUUAAACAAUGUAAAAGGCAAUGCUACCAAAUACUAAUUGAGUGUAUGUAAACUUCUGACCCACUGGGAAUGUGAUGAAAGUAAUAAAAGCUGAAAAUCAUUCUCUACUAUUAUUGUGACAUUUCACAUUCUUAAAAUAAAUUGGUGAUUCUAACUGACCUAAGACAGGGAAUUUUUACUGUAAUUUAAUGUCAGGAAUUGUGAAAAACUGAGUUUAAAUGUAUUUGGCUAAGGUGUAUGUAAACUUCCAACUUCAACUGUACGUAACUGGACAUGAAAAUACCCUGGCUUAGCAGAGCAAAUUCAGUUUUUUCAGAGAGAUGUUUUAUCUUUGACAAUGUUGCCAGGAAGAUGUGUGCUGUUAUGUAUUAUUUUAAAAUAAUUUUCUCUAAAUAUGGAAUGAAGGCGUUUGCCUUCUGUUCUUCUUGCCUAUGAAUGGCAAGACAUAUUUUGUGGGUAAUAACUGUUUUAAUCUUGUUUUCCCCCUCUACUGAACAGUGCAAUAAUGUCUGGCUGUUUUCUAUUAUAAUUUCAAACCUCAUUUGAUUUGCAUGUAGGUAUUUGUUCAGUAUACGUUUUUUACCUCAAACUUGUGUAUUUGUUUUUCUAAAUGCUGAAUUUGUAAGCACAUAAGAUUUUUUGUUCAUGCAUUGUUGUGAUGGUUUAUUUCGUUGAUAUCAUUUGCUUUUUUUCUGUUCAAUUACCUGCAGUAACUGAGAAAUAGAUUCAUAAGAAUAAAAAGAUCAAUUAGA
Molecule: long non-coding RNA, 2236 nt
Organism: Salvelinus fontinalis (brook trout)
Lineage: Eukaryota; Metazoa; Chordata; Actinopteri; Salmoniformes; Salmonidae
Exons: 4
Source: RefSeq, a predicted model, not a curated record